AUCACUAAGCGGAGGAAAAGAAACUAACAAGGAUUCCCCCAGUAACGGCGAGUGAAGUGGGAAUAGCCCAGCACCGAAUCCCUCAGCCUUGCGCUGCCGGGACCUGUGGUGUUAGGGACGACCGCUGUCGUGUUGUUCGGGUGCCCAAGUCCUCCCGAUCGGGGCCUCUCCCACAGUGGGUGUCAGGCCUUUACCGGCACUCGUCGACACGGCUAUGGUCGCCCUCGGAGUCGGGUUGUUUGGGAAUGCAGCCCAAAGCUGGUGGUAAACUCCAUCUAAGGCUAAAUACUGACACGAGUCCGAUAG
This 306-nucleotide ribosomal RNA is filed under the name Mimachlamys varia. RNAcentral describes it as "eukaryotic LSU rRNA". It matches the Rfam family "Eukaryotic large subunit ribosomal RNA", at positions 42 to 340 of the family's 3401-position model. The record is from RNAcentral. Lineage: Eukaryota; Metazoa; Mollusca; Bivalvia; Pectinida; Pectinidae.